RNAcentral lists this long non-coding RNA (1410 nucleotides) under Oncorhynchus mykiss (rainbow trout). RNAcentral describes it as "lncRNA (ENSOMYG00000071699.1)". Lineage: Eukaryota; Metazoa; Chordata; Actinopteri; Salmoniformes; Salmonidae. The record is from RNAcentral.
AUGGGGUAUUGUGUCAUCAUGGGGUAUUGUGUCGUCAUGGGGUAUUGUGUCAUCAUGGGGUAUUGUGUCAUCAUGGGGUAUUGUGUCGUCAUGGGGUAUUGUGUCGUCAUGGGGUAUUGUGUCAUCAUGGGGUAUUGUGUCGUUAUGGGGUAUUGUGUCAUCAUGGGGUAUUGUGUCGUCAUGGGGUAUUGUGUCGUCAUUACGGGGUAUUGUGCCGUUACGGGGUAUUGUGUCAUUACGGGGUAUUGUGUCGUUACGGGGUAUUGUGUCGUUACGGGGUAUUGUGUCGUUACGGGGUAUUGUGUCGUUACGGGGUAUUGUGUCAUCAUGGGGUAUUGUGUCGUCAUGGAGUAUUGUGUCGUUAUGGGGUAUUGUGUCAUCAUGGGGUAUUGUGUCGUCAUGGGGUAUUGUGUCAUCAUGGGGUAUUGUGUCGUCAUGGGGUAUUGUGUCGUCAUGGGGUAUUGUGUCAUCAUGGGGUAUUGUGUCGUCAUGGGGUAUUGUGUCGUUAUGGGGUAUUGUGUCAUCAUGGGGUAUUGUGUCGUCAUGGGGUAUUGUGUCAUCAUGGAGUAUUGUGUCGUCAUGGGGUAUUGUGUCGUCAUGGGGUAUUGUGUCAUCAUGGGGUAUUGUGUCGUCAUGGGGUAUUGUGUCAUUACGGGGUAUUGUGUCGUUACGGGGUAUUGUGUCGUUACGGGGUAUUGUGUCGUUACGGGGUAUUGUGUCGUUACGGGGUAUUGUUUCGUUAUGGGGUAUUGUGUCAUUAUGGGUUGUUAUGUCAUUAUGGGGUAUUGUGUCGUCAUUACAGGGUAUUGUGCCGUUACGGGGUAUUGUGUCAUUACGGGGUAUUGUGUCAUUACGGGGUAUUGUGUCGUUAUGGGGUAUUGUGUCGUUACGGGGUAUUGUGACGUUACGGGGUAUUGUGUCGUUACGGGGUAUUGUGUCGUUAUGGGGUAUUGUGUCAUUACGGGGUAUUGUGUCGUUAUGGGGUAUUGUGUCGUUAUGGGGUAUUGUGUCGUUACGGGGUAUUGUGUCGUUAUGGGGUAUUGUGUCAUUACGGGGUAUUGUGUCGUUAUGGGGUAUUGUGUCGUUACGGGGUAUUGUGUCGUUACGGGGUAUUGUGUCGUUAUGGGGUAUUGUGUCAUUACGGGGUAUUGUGUCGUUACGGGGUAUUGUGUCAUUACGGGGUAUUGUGUCGUUAUGGGGUAUUGUGUCGUUAUGGGGUAUUGUGUCAUUACGGGGUAUUGUGUCAUUACGGGGUAUUGUGAUGUCAUUAUGGGGUAUUGUGAUGUCAUUAUGGGGUAUUGUGAUGUCGUUAUGGGGUAUUGUGAUGUCAUUAUGGGGUAUUGUGAUGUCAUUAUGGGGUAUUGUGAUGUCAUUAUGGGGUAUUGUGUCGUUAUGGGGUAUUGUUUGUAG